Heterocephalus glaber (naked mole-rat) is the source of this 131-nucleotide small nucleolar RNA. Lineage: Eukaryota; Metazoa; Chordata; Mammalia; Rodentia; Bathyergidae. The record is from Ensembl.
CCCUCCAACAAAGGUGUGUCUUUUGUUCCCUGACUUUGGACCCCUAAGAAUGGGAGGCAAAGAAAUGAGGAUUUGGAGACAUAUGGGGCCAACUUACUCUCCACAGUCUCAAGAUCAAGUGUUCCACAUUU